This is a long non-coding RNA of Oncorhynchus keta (chum salmon), 552 nucleotides long. RefSeq lists it as uncharacterized. Lineage: Eukaryota; Metazoa; Chordata; Actinopteri; Salmoniformes; Salmonidae. The record is from RefSeq and is a predicted model, not a curated record. The transcript is spliced from 7 exons.
UAUAGACACAUUACAGACAGACACCGUGUGGUGUAGUGUUAUACUGGGUUUCAGGUCUCUGGUUCAUGUUAGGAGGGUAUUAUAGACACAUUACAGACAGACACCGUGUGGUGUAGUGUUAUACUGGGUUUCAGGUCUCUGGUUCAUGUUAGGAGGGUAUUAUAGACACAUUACAGACAGACACCGUGUGGUGUAGUGUUAUACUGGGUUUCAGGUCUCUGGUUCAUGUUAGGAGGGUAUUAUAGACACAUUACAGACAGACACCGUGUGGUGUAGUGUUAUACUGGGUUUCAGGUCUCUGGUUCAUGUUAGGAGGGUAUUAUAGACACAUUACAGACAGACACCGUGUGGUGUAGUGUUAUACUGGGUUUCAGGUCUCUGGUUCAUGUCAGGAGGGUAUUAUAGACUCAUUACAGACAGACACCGUGUGGUGUAGUGUUAUACUGGGUUUCAGGUCUCUGGUUCUUGUCAGGAGGGUAUUAUAGACACAUUACAGACAGACACCGUGUGGUGUAGUGUUAUACUGGGUUUCAGGUCUCUGGUUCAUGUUAG